RNAcentral lists this transfer RNA (74 nucleotides) under Candidatus Rifleibacteriota bacterium. Its description in RNAcentral is "tRNA-Arg". It matches the Rfam family "tRNA". Rfam says of the family: Transfer RNA (tRNA) molecules are approximately 80 nucleotides in length. Their secondary structure includes four short double-helical elements and three loops (D, anti-codon, and T loops). Further hydrogen bonds mediate the characteristic L-shaped molecular structure. tRNAs have two regions of fundamental functional importance: the anti-codon, which is responsible for specific mRNA codon recognition, and the 3' end, to which the tRNAs corresponding amino acid is attached (by aminoacyl-tRNA synthetases). tRNAs cope with the degeneracy of the genetic code in two manners: having more than one tRNA (with a specific anti-codon) for a particular amino acid; and 'wobble' base-pairing, i.e. permitting non-standard base-pairing at the 3rd anti-codon position. Lineage: Bacteria; Candidatus Rifleibacteriota. RNAcentral also lists the same sequence under 1 other name. The record is from RNAcentral.
GCGCCUAUAGCUCAGGUGGAUAGAGCACAGGAUUCCUAAUCCUGGUGUCCCAGGUUCGAGUCCUGGUAGGCGCG